GAUGAAGAACGUAGCGAAAUGCGAUAAGUAAUGUGAAUUGCAGAAUUCAGUGAAUCAUCGAAUCUUUGAACGCACAUUGCGCCCGCCAGUAUUCUGGCGGGCAUGCCUGUCUGAGCGUCAUUUCAACCCUCAUGCCCCUAGGGCGUGGUGUUGGGGUUCGGCCAAAGCCCGCGAGGGACGGCCGGCCCCUAAAUCUAGUGGCGGACCCGUCGUGGCCUCCUCUGCGAAGUAGUGAUAUUCCGCAUCGGAGAGCGAUGAGCCCCUGCCGUUAAACCCCCAACUUUCCAAGGUUGACCUCAGAUCAGGUAGGAAUACCCGCUGAACUUAAGCAUAUCAUAAGCGGAGGA
RNAcentral lists this unclassified non-coding RNA (347 nucleotides) under soil metagenome. Its description in RNAcentral is "partial contains 5.8S ribosomal RNA, internal transcribed spacer 2, and large subunit ribosomal RNA". The stretch from base 1 to 120 matches the Rfam family "5.8S ribosomal RNA", at positions 35 to 154 of the family's 154-position model. The record is from RNAcentral.